Molecule: ribosomal RNA, 253 nt
Filed under: uncultured bacterium
Lineage: Bacteria
Description: partial 16S ribosomal RNA
Rfam family: Bacterial small subunit ribosomal RNA
Source: RNAcentral
UACGUAGGGGGCAAGCGUUGUCCGGAUUUAUUGGGCGUAAAGAGCGUGUAGGCGGCCAGGUAGGUCAGCUGUGAAAACUCGAGGCUCAACCUCGAGCUGUCGGCUGAAACCAUCUGGCUAGAGUCCGGAAGAGGAGAAUGGAGUUCCCGGUGUAGCGGUGAAAUGCGCAGAUAUCGGGAAGAACACCCGUGGCGAAGGCGGUUCUCUGGGACGGUACUGACGCUGAGACGCGAAAGCGUGGGGAGCGAACAGG